UACGGGGGGGGCUAGCGUUAUUCGGAAUCAUUGGGCGUAAAGGGCGCGUAGGCGGCGCGGUAAGUCAAAGGUGAAAUCCCUCGGCUCAACUGAGGAACUGCCUUUGAAACUGCCGUGCUUGAGUCCGGGAGGGGGUAGCGGAAUUCCCAGUGUAGCGGUGAAAUGCGUAGAUAUUGGGAGGAACACCAGUGGCGAAGGCGGAUCUCUGGGCCUGUUCUGACGCUGAGGCGCGAAAGCUAGGGGAGCGAACAGG
RNAcentral lists this ribosomal RNA (253 nucleotides) under uncultured bacterium. Its description in RNAcentral is "partial 16S ribosomal RNA". It matches the Rfam family "Bacterial small subunit ribosomal RNA", at positions 524 to 776 of the family's 1533-position model. The record is from RNAcentral.